This 326-nucleotide ribosomal RNA is filed under the name uncultured bacterium. Its description in RNAcentral is "bacterial SSU rRNA". It matches the Rfam family "Bacterial small subunit ribosomal RNA", at positions 1 to 334 of the family's 1533-position model. The record is from RNAcentral.
UACGACGUAUCAGAGUUUGAUCCUGGCUCAGGAUGAACGCUGGCGGCGUGCAUAACACAUUCAAGUCGAACGAGGUAGCAAUACCUAGUGGCGGACGGGUGAGUAACGCGUGAGCAACCUGCCCUUGUGUGGGGGAUACCGUCUGGAAACGGACGUUAAUACCGCAUAACAUAACGGAAUCGCAUGGUUCUGUUAUCAAAGAUUUAUUGCGCAAGGAUGGGCUCGCGUUGGAUUAGAUAGUUGGUGAGGUAACGGCCCACCAAGUCUGCGAUCCAUAGCCGGACUGAGAGGUUGAACGGCCACAUUGGAACUGAGAUACGGUCCAG